CCCGCUUCCAGAAAAGUUGGCCAUGAAAACAGCAGAGCAUCGUCUAACAUAGCACUGGAAGAGAAACAGCUGGAUUCAGACUAAACUGGCUGAUGCUGCGGGCGUUUUCUGUGCAAGGAGGAGGAUUAUGGCAGAAUAGACUUCAGUCUUCAGGCCCGGAGCAGAAAUGGGAGAGUUCCUGCUCUACGGUGCCUGCUCAACCACCAGUGACCAGAUAGGGGUCUCUGGGCAUUAGACAAGAAACAAGAGCUGGAAGAGAGAGAAGAGCCUGGAGCCUGGGGCUGACCCGAAGAGGCAGGGCAGCCCCAGGGCGGCCUGCACUGCAGCUCCCGACCUGCUUCCCUUCACGGCUCUCUUGGGGGAUCUUUUGGGAACAGAGUGGGGUGGCACUGUCCUCAUAAGACUGAUGUUUGUUUUUCUGGCCUUUCCCUUUCUACUUCUCCUGAUCUGCCCCAUCCCCACGCCUGCCACAUACUGCCUUAGAACCAGCUUCCUCCCUGAGAGAGAAUCUCGCGGUUCAGACCAGGUGCAGAGGGAAUGAGUUACCCAUACAGUCGCGCUGGGAGUGGCAGGGCCCCUUUCCGACUGAUCUCCAGGGAAGGCUGUGGCUCAGCUUGAGAAGGCCCUGCCUCUACCCCUAUAUUUAGCAGGGCCCUGGAACUCGCUCUCAGAGUCAAAUGGGGUAGAGAUUGAGAGGGCCGACAGUGAGCUCUGAUGCCUCAGUGCUGCAGCUGGAGGGGAUCCAGGCCGUCCAGAUGAGGGAAAAGUGAGCUCUGUCGGCUGGUCCUCAAACAGAACCACAGGAGGCCUGUAGACCUACGGACAAGAACUGCAUUGGUUGUUGGUUCCAGCAAGGAGAUAAAGACAGACUCCGGGUCCAGGGCCCGGCACACCCAGACAGGCCGGGCUGAUUGGCCUCUGAGAAGCUGAAAGGCAUGAAUAUUCUAUAAGAAGAACAUUUCCUGUUUUCCAAUGUGAUUCUCUAAAUGGGGGAGAUAGAGAACUGUGGUCUUCUGUCUGUCACACAGUCGGUGUGUGUGUGCGCACGAGUGUGUGUGAAUGCUUGUCAUUUUGAAAAAUUUCAAAUUUUAUGUAGCAGUUCCUUUCUCACCAGGGUCCCCUGCUUGUGUGAAACUUUAAUUUUAUAGCUUUGGCUGUUAAUUCAUCAUGGGGACCACCAUCAAUAAAUACUUAUUGAGCUUU
Equus quagga is the source of this 1203-nucleotide long non-coding RNA. RefSeq lists it as uncharacterized. Lineage: Eukaryota; Metazoa; Chordata; Mammalia; Perissodactyla; Equidae. The transcript is spliced from 5 exons. The record is from RefSeq and is a predicted model, not a curated record.